RNAcentral lists this unclassified non-coding RNA (3706 nucleotides) under Thrips palmi. Its description in RNAcentral is "glycogen [starch] synthase, transcript variant X4". Lineage: Eukaryota; Metazoa; Arthropoda; Insecta; Thysanoptera; Thripidae. The record is from RNAcentral.
UCAUUUCAGCUUCCCUCGCCCGCGCAACCGGUCGUACUGCGCGCUGCGUAGCGCUGCCCUCGAUCCUCUCGACAGAGAUCUCGCCAUCUCGCCGCGUGCCGCGCGCUCCGCCGUCGUCUGCUCUCGGCGUUCAAAGGACGAGAAAGAAAAGGAACACGCCCAAGGGAAGGGGUUGCGUCGGCUGCAGUCUGCAGUCAGCUGUGGCCCGAGCCAAGUCCGAGCUACAACAGUGUGUGUGAGGUGCGGCACGCCAGCGGAACGGGACGGGACCGCUCGUAGUGCAAAACAGUGGGCGCCCCAACCCUGCCCCCCAGCCCAGCUAGUGGGCCAGGCACUUGACCUUCAGGGUUUCUUUGAGGCAACAAUCAACCGAGAAUGUCUAUUAAAGAAAAGGCACAACGGCGGUUCUAUCGCGCAGACAGUGUGUAUGACUUCUUGUCUGUAAUGGACAGAGGUCAAGCUGCGAUGGAUGAUAACCGAUGGACAUUCGAAGCAGCUUGGGAAGUUGCCAACAAAGUUGGAGGAAUUUACACUGUCAUCAGAUCCAAGGCCUAUGUCUCCACAGAGGAAAUGGGUGAUCAGUAUUGUCUCUUAGGGCCUUACAAGGAACAGUGCGCCCGCACCGAAGUGGAAGAGCAGGAAUUCCCUGCCGGAGGCCCUUUACAAAUUGCCGUCAGCAGGAUGAGAGAUCAAGGAUACCAGCUCCACACUGGUACUUGGCUAGUUGAUGGAAAUCCUCAGCUCAUUCUUUUUGACAUUGGAUCUGCUGCUUGGAAAUUGGAUGAAUACAAACAGGAACUCUGGGAGAAAACAGGUGUUGGAAUCCCUCAUCUGGAUAUUGAAACCAAUGAUGCUGUUAUUUUAGGAUACAUGGUGGCAGCUUUCAUUGCUGAGUUCCGCAAAGCAGCAGAGGAAUGUAGUGGCCAACAGCCCCGCAUUGUUACCCAUUUCCAUGAAUGGCAAGCUGGUGUAGGGUUGGUCGCUCUCAGAACUAGACGUGUUGAUGUUGCCACUGUUUUCACCACGCAUGCAACUUUAUUGGGAAGAUACCUGUGUGCUGGAAAUAUUGAUUUCUACAACAACCUGUCUCAAUUUAAUGUGGAUGAAGAGGCUGGAAAGCGCCAGAUUUACCACAGAUAUUGCUUAGAGCGUUGUGCGACCCACCUUUCUCAUACUUUCACUACUGUAUCUGAAAUUACUGGCUAUGAAGCUGAACAUUUACUGAAACGGAAGGCUGAUUAUAUUACGCCAAACGGCUUGAAUGUGAAAAAGUUUUCUGCACUCCACGAAUUCCAGAAUUUACAUGCUCUUUCAAAAGACAAAAUUCAUGAGUUUGUACGAGGACACUUUUAUGGACAUUAUGACUUCAAUUUGGAUAAGACCCUCUAUUUCUUCAUUGCUGGUCGAUAUGAGUUUGGAAAUAAGGGAGCAGAUAUAUUUAUUGAAGCCUUAGCAAGAUUGAAUCACUAUCUGAAGGCGGCGAACUCAGACACUACAGUUGUUGCUUUUCUCAUCUUCCCUGCUAAGACCAACAACUUCAAUGUUGAGAGUUUACGUGGUCAUGCAGUUACAAAGAGUUUGAGGGACACUAUCCAUGAUGUUCAGCAAGGCAUUGGCAAGAAAUUGUAUGAAAUUUGUCUCAGUGGGAGAAUGCCGGAUGCAGCUGAGCUUCUUGAGAAAGAGGAUAAAGUGAAACUGAAGCGCUGCAUUUAUGGACUUCAGAGGCAUGGUCUUCCUCCUGUCACUACUCACAAUAUUGUUGAUGACUGGAACGAUCCUGUCCUAAAUGCUGUGAGAAGAUGCAACCUCUUCAAUACAGUUCAUGACCGUGUGAAGGUGAUUUUCCACCCAGAAUUCUUGUCGUCCACAAACCCUCUAUUCGGUUUAGAUUAUGAAGAGUUUGUGCGAGGUUGCCACUUGGGAGUCUUCCCUAGCUACUAUGAACCCUGGGGCUACACUCCUGCAGAAUGCACAGUAAUGGGUAUUCCCUCAAUCACCACUAAUUUAUCAGGCUUUGGCUGCUUCAUGCAAGAACAUAUUGCAGAUCCUCAGAGCUAUGGAAUUUAUAUUGUUGAUAGGCGUUAUAUUGGUCUUGAGAAUUCUGUGCAACAGUUGGCACAGUUUAUGUAUGACUUCUCCCGCCUUAACCGAAGACAGAGAAUCAUUCAGAGAAAUCGUACUGAGCGUUUAAGUGACCUUCUUGAUUGGCGAAACUUGGGCAUUUAUUACCGUCAAUCUCGCAUUAGUGCCCUUUGCAAAGUUUACCCAGAACUAGCUAACACUUUGGAAAUGAGUGGCAAUGUGAACAAUUUCAACUUCCCUCGCCCAAUUUCUGAACCUCCCUCUCCAUCAUCCUCCCGGCCGACAACACCUCGAGGUUCAAUUCAUGGAAGUGAUGACGAGGAUGAAGUUGAUGAAGAAAAAGAGAUUGAAGAACUUGGAGGUACAUUAAAAAACACCAAGAUAGAAGAUCGACAAUAGUAGGUCAGCAGCAGAAUUAUUUCAUAGUUAGUUGUUCACUAGCAAAUGCCAAGCUUGCUGAAUUGAAGAAUGUAGUUUAGAUUUGCCCUGGUCAUCUUGGAAAGUUCAUCAGCAUAGCUUGCUGCCAUGAUGACACCCUAUGAAGUUCUUUUUUUAAAUAGAGGCUGGUUCCAUCAAUAUAUUCAUCUUAUGAUUAUUGUGUUCAUAUCUUAAGAAUUUAAAACUAAUGUGCCAUCGAAUGUGACUGUCAAUUUUUUCUAUUGAAGUUGCUAUAAGCUUACAUUUAAUGAAAUGUAAUGUGAUCUAAAUGUAUAAACUUUUAGAAUCUGUUCUUUGGAAGUGAAUUUCUGGAACCGUGUUUGAGCUAACAAAUUUUAACUUGAUUAGCUUAGGCUGCAUUCAGCAAUUCGGAAUUGUUAUUUUUUGACUUAGAACUACUGUAAAGCUCAAGUUGUUUUAAAUUUGAGCCUGGAAUGGUUAAAGGAUAGUGCUACACAUGCUUGCCUUUUUUUUUCUUUUUUUAAAAUUGUUUUAGAAAGUGAAGUAUUUUUGUACCAAUCUGCAUCUUUUAAUGAUUUGCUGAUGUAUUUUGAUAGUCUAUUUCUUGUUUUAUAAUUUUUUAGAAAGAUUUACUGCCAUAGUAUGAAAUAGGUUCGAAACUCAUCUUUUUUGUGCCCUGCCUUUCUGUCUCUAAAUAUUUGGUUGUGAAUUGGAAAUUGAGUAUCCUAUUCCUUUUUAAGAACUAUAUGAAAUCUUCCUCAUGAAUGAAACAUGCUAAUUCUCUUAGAAGAUAGAAAACUAUUAGGAUAAUUUGUCUUGGCUGAUGCUCGUUGAGGCUUUGACCGCUGAAGUCGCUACAACAUGAACUUAUUUUAGAUGUGAUUAUUAGUUGUGCCAUAUUGUGCUGAUUUUACAAUUUUCUUGUUGGUAUUUUGAGACUUAUUGUAUUGUUAUUGCUAUUAAAGUUUAUUUGUCUAGACCAAUAAAGCCAAUAAAACCAUUCUAUCCUUAGUUAAUCUGAAUCAUAUUGUUUAAUUAUUGAUGCAUUUGGUAGGAUAGAGUAAGCCUACUGAAAUCAAACAAUGUGUACUUAAUGCCAUGAGAUCAAUGGCAAGCUACAUAACCCGGUGAUAAGAUAGACGGUUCCGUCUUAGCAGUAAACUUCGUGCCAUAAGAUAGUUUUUGCUGGAAAAUGUGUGCCAAUAAAAGUCAAAUUUAUUCAAAA